RNAcentral lists this ribosomal RNA (383 nucleotides) under uncultured eukaryote. RNAcentral describes it as "partial 18S ribosomal RNA". It matches the Rfam family "Eukaryotic small subunit ribosomal RNA", at positions 592 to 976 of the family's 1831-position model. The record is from RNAcentral.
CAAUAGCGUAUAUUAAAGUUGUUGCAGUUAAAAAGCUCGUAGUUGGAUUUCUGGUAGGAGUGACCGUUCCGAACUUGAUUGUUCGUGUAUUGUGUUUUCUCCAGCCAUCCUUGUGGAGAACUUUUCUUGCAUUAAUUUGUAGGGAUUGGGACCCGCAUCGUAUACUGUGAAAAAAUUAGAGUGUUUAAAGCAGGCAAUCGCUUGAAUACAUUAGCAUGGAAUAAUAAGAUAGGACUUUGGUACUAUUUUGUUGGUUUGCAUACCAAAUUAAUGAUCAACAGGAACAGUUUGAGGAUAUUCGUAUGAACAUGUCAGAGGUGAAAUUCUUGGAUUUUGAUCAGACGAACUACUGCGAAAGCAUUUAUCAAGGAUGUUUUCAUUAA